RNAcentral lists this long non-coding RNA (767 nucleotides) under Lathyrus oleraceus (garden pea). RNAcentral describes it as "Pisum sativum (pea) long non-coding RNA (PSAT_LNC021742)". The record is from RNAcentral. Lineage: Eukaryota; Viridiplantae; Streptophyta; Magnoliopsida; Fabales; Fabaceae.
GAAGUUGUGCGUUUUGGAAAUAGAUGCAAAGAUCCUCAGUGGCACAACCUGGAACGCUAUUUCGAGAAUUAGGUUCAGAGCUUUCACCACAAAGAGCAAUUAAAAGAGGAGGCAGAGACGGUGAUGCAACAAUUAAUGACUUUGUUCAAUAUACUGCUGAAUUAUAUCAUGAAUUGCAUGCCUUAGACAGGUUUGAUCAAGUAUUCGACGACAAGCUUUUCGACUCUUCUGUCAUACCUGCGAUCCUUGUACAAUAGCUUCACUCCUUCUCCUGGAUUUCAAGUCAAUUAAGCCAAUUGGAAUCACCAAAUUGCCGUAAGUGAAUGUCGGCAUUGUCAUUACAGCAAACAUAAACGUUACCUGCAAGAAACACCCCAAACCAUAACAGUCAAUUUAGAAACAUGCUGGAUACACAAGCUACCCAAAACGAGUACAAAACCGACCGAUGUUUCAAAUUUUCAUUACAGUAAAAGAACAAAUUAGUAGCAAGGUAGUCGAAUUUCAAGAAAUCCCAAUUCCAAAGGAGUUCCAACCACAACAUGAUUUCCAUUAAACCACAUGGAAUUCGGUUUUGACCAACUCAACUGGUAUUAAUACUGCUAGCAUCAUCUCAUUCUCCAUUUGAAAACACAUGUUGCCAAUUAUGCUAGCAUGCCAGCCUAACCGAGUCCAACUUGACUGUUAUAAUACAAACCUGCGACAAACAAUAAUUAACAUAACAGCAGACAACAGCCGGCAUAAAGUAAUAAACCAACAGCAGCAAAAUG